RNAcentral lists this ribosomal RNA (480 nucleotides) under uncultured Allobrachymonas sp. Its description in RNAcentral is "bacterial SSU rRNA". It matches the Rfam family "Bacterial small subunit ribosomal RNA", at positions 896 to 1382 of the family's 1533-position model. The record is from RNAcentral. Lineage: Bacteria; Pseudomonadati; Pseudomonadota; Betaproteobacteria; Burkholderiales; Comamonadaceae.
AAACUACAAAGGAAUUGACGGGACCCGCACAAGCGGUGGAUGAUGUGGUUUAAUUCGAUGCAACGCGAAAACCUUACCCACCUUUGACAUGGCAGGAAUCCUAAAGAGAUUUUGGAGUGCUCGAAAGAGAACCUGCACACAGGUGCUGCAUGGCUGUCGUCAGCUCGUGUCGUGAGAUGUUGGGUUAAGUCCCGCAACGAGCGCAACCCUUGCCAUUAGUUGCUACGAAAGGGCACUCUAAUGGGACUGCCGGUGACAAACCGGAGGAAGGUGGGGAUGACGUCAAGUCCUCAUGGCCCUUAUAGGUGGGGCUACACACGUCAUACAAUGGCCGGUACAGAGGGUAGCCAACCCGCGAGGAGGAGCCAAUCCCACAAAGCCGGUCGUAGUCCGGAUCGCAGUCUGCAACUCGACUGCGUGAAGUCGGAAUCGCUAGUAAUCGCGGAUCAGCAUGUCGCGGUGAAUACGUUCCCGGGUCUU